RNAcentral lists this transfer-messenger RNA (387 nucleotides) under Helicobacter pylori. It matches the Rfam family "transfer-messenger RNA". Rfam says of the family: Bacterial tmRNA, also known as 10Sa RNA or SsrA, is named for its dual tRNA and mRNA-like properties. Its role is to liberate the mRNA from a stalled ribosome. Lineage: Bacteria; Pseudomonadati; Campylobacterota; Epsilonproteobacteria; Campylobacterales; Helicobacteraceae. The record is from RNAcentral. RNAcentral also lists the same sequence under 1 other name.
GGGGCUGACUUGGAUUUCGACAGAUUUCUUGUCGCACAGACAGCAUGCCAAGCACUGCUUGUAAAACAGCAACAAAAAUAACUGUAAACAACACAGAUUACGCUCCAGCUUACGCUAAAGCUGCGUGAGUUAAUCUCCUUUUGGAGCUGGACUGAUUAGAAUUUCUAGCGUUUUGAUCACUCCAUAACCUUAAGCUAGACGCUUUUAAAAGGUGGUUCGCCUUUUAAACUAAGAAAACAAGAACUCUUGAAACUACCUCAAGGUUUUAGAAAGUUGGACCAGAGUUAGUUUUAAGGCUAAAAAACUAAUCAAUUUUCUAAGCAUUGUAGAAGUUUGUGUUUAGGACAAGAUUUUUGGACUGGGGUUCGAUUCCCCACAGCUCCACCA